CUAGAAACUUCGAAUAGCUUCUCGGAAUCAAGAGAUUUUCAGCUCGCACUUCAAUGCAAACAUUUUGACCAAAUGAUCCGGGUCACGUACUUUUAAAAUCAUUGUGUUGAAGUGUUUGACGUACUCACAAAGGAACUCUCCAUCCUAUUGCUUGAUGACAAACAAAUACUCUAUUCCUUUCCACUGUCAGCAACUACUAACAAAAUGUGCCGUGAAUAGUUGGCCGAAUUGUUCAAAUGAAUGAAUUGAGUUCGGUUGCAGCAUAGUAUACCACAACCAAGCUGUCUUUAUGAGAGUAGCUAGGAAACUUGGCAAAACACUGUAUCGGUGGCUUCUUGGAGCAUCAUGAGGGCUUUGAAGCUUUCCAAAUGAUCCAAGAGAUCGGUAGUCCCAUUGUAGACAUUCAGCUAAGGUAUCUUGAACCAAUGAGGAAGAGGUUCCUCCAUGAUCUUAGCCAAAAACAAAGGGUUAGUUGUGAAAUCAACUUUGUCCUUGAGCUCGACAUUGUAGCCUCUUAAGGUCUUGAGACGUUGAUCCAUCUCCUCGAACCAACGGUCAAGAUCAACUCCCUCCUCAGGAUUCUCUCAGAACGAUGGUUAAUCCUCCGAUGCUUAAAUUAGAUAUAACUCUCAAGGAACAGAAGGAAGCUUGGGAGGAGCAUAGAGGCAAUACAAGAAAGUCGACAGAGAACUUACUUGAAGAGUCCCAAGAAAUAUAAUACAUAGGUGAGGAUUGAAACCCAUCGUCGAGUAAGUUGAGGGAGAUCCACUGGUUGAUAAGGCAACAAACCACGUAUAUUGCUCAUAAAUCUCAUCCGCAUUUUUCGGUAGCAAGAUUUGCCCGAGUAUCACAUUUGUUAAGAAACAGCUAGUGAUACAGCCAAGUUCUUUUAUUUAUGGAGAGGGUUUG
RNAcentral lists this long non-coding RNA (909 nucleotides) under Phoenix dactylifera (date palm). Its description in RNAcentral is "long non-coding RNA (PDAC_LNC005006)". The record is from RNAcentral. Lineage: Eukaryota; Viridiplantae; Streptophyta; Magnoliopsida; Arecales; Arecaceae.